RNAcentral lists this transfer RNA (76 nucleotides) under Thermus thermophilus HB27. RNAcentral's name for it is "tRNA-Glu". It matches the Rfam family "tRNA". From Rfam's summary of the family: Transfer RNA (tRNA) molecules are approximately 80 nucleotides in length. RNAcentral also lists the same sequence under 1 other name. The record is from RNAcentral. Lineage: Bacteria; Thermotogati; Deinococcota; Deinococci; Thermales; Thermaceae.
UGGCCCCAUCGUCUAGAGGCCUAGGACACGGCCCUCUCAAGGCCGAGACGGGGGUUCGAAUCCCCCUGGGGUCACC